This 377-nucleotide ribosomal RNA is filed under the name uncultured bacterium. RNAcentral describes it as "bacterial SSU rRNA". It matches the Rfam family "Bacterial small subunit ribosomal RNA", at positions 790 to 1167 of the family's 1533-position model. The record is from RNAcentral.
GUAGUCCACGCCGUAAACGAUGUCGACUUGGAGGUUGUGCCCUUGAGGCGUGGCUUCCGGAGCUAACGCGUUAAGUCGACCGCCUGGGGAGUACGGCCGCAAGGUUAAAACUCAAAUGAAUUGACGGGGGCCCGCACAAGCGGUGGAGCAUGUGGUUUAAUUCGAUGCAACGCGAAGAACCUUACCUGGUCUUGACAUCCACAGAACCUUGUAGAGAUACGAGGGUGCCUUCGGGAACUGUGAGACAGGUGCUGCAUGGCUGUCGUCAGCUCGUGUUGUGAAAUGUUGGGUUAAGUCCCGCAACGAGCGCAACCCUUAUCCUUUGUUGCCAGCGGUCCGGCCGGGAACUCAAAGGAGACUGCCAGUGAUAAACUGGA